RNAcentral lists this ribosomal RNA (404 nucleotides) under uncultured bacterium. RNAcentral's name for it is "bacterial SSU rRNA". It matches the Rfam family "Bacterial small subunit ribosomal RNA", at positions 355 to 776 of the family's 1533-position model. The record is from RNAcentral.
UGGGGGAUAUUGCACAAUGGGGGAAACCCUGAUGCAGCGACGCCGCGUGAGUGAAGAAGUAUCUCGGUAUGUAAAGCUCUAUCAGCAGGAAAGAUAAUGACGGUACCUGACUAAGAAGCCCCGGCUAACUACGUGCCAGCAGCCGCGGUAAUACGUAGGGGGCAAGCGUUAUCCGGAUUUACUGGGUGUAAAGGGAGCGUAGACGGCAGCGCAAGUCUGGAGUGAAAUGCCGGGGCCCAACCCCGGAACUGCUUUGGAAACUGUGCGGCUCGAGUGCGGGAGAGGUAGGCGGAAUUCCUAGUGUAGCGGUGAAAUGCGUAGAUAUUAGGAGGAACACCAGUGGCGAAGGCGGCUUACUGGACCGUAACUGACGUUGAGGCUCGAAAGCGUGGGGAGCAAACAGG